UCUGGCAGCACGCCGAAUCCUGCCGCUGGCCCGACCGACCUCGACUUCCCUGAGGCAGGAACGGGAGAUCGCAGACCUCCGGGCCGCGUCAGUGGCCCUCGGGGUGAAGCCGUGACCGCCACGGCCGGGCAGUCCUCCCGCCCGAACCCGACAGCUCAUCCCGCAGGCGCGCUCGGAGGAUCU
This 183-nucleotide small RNA is filed under the name Geodermatophilus obscurus. RNAcentral's name for it is "c-di-AMP sequence". It matches the Rfam family "c-di-AMP riboswitch aptamer (ydaO/yuaA leader)". From Rfam's summary of the family: This family represents a conserved RNA structure found upstream of the ydaO and yuaA genes in Bacillus subtilis and related genes in other bacteria. The ydaO/yuaA element is thought to act as a genetic "off" switch for the ydaO and yuaA genes in its native state. It is believed that the element may be triggered during osmotic shock leading to activation of ydaO, a predicted amino acid transporter gene, and members of the yuaA-yubG operon which code for KtrA and KtrB K+ transporters. Lineage: Bacteria; Bacillati; Actinomycetota; Actinomycetes; Geodermatophilales; Geodermatophilaceae. RNAcentral also lists the same sequence under 1 other name. The record is from RNAcentral.